GUGUGGACAACUAUGAGGGGGAUAGGUGGUAACAGCUCAUAGGAUACCAAAAGGAAAAUAAAAUAAAAAGACUCCCUAGAAUCUCCACCCAACGGUUACCUCACGCAGUAAGUGCCCUCACUCACUUUAUGGCUCUCUCUUUGGAAAAAUAAAUAAAAAGAAAAUAAAAAAAACCUCUAAAGUCUCCACCCAACGGACACUCACCUCACGCCUCUCUCUCUCCUCACACUCCCUCACGUCACUUCUCUGACUCCACUAAAAAGGCACUCACUCAUUUAUGACCCUUCACCUACCACUCUCACACUUCUCUCUCAGGCUCUCUCUCACCUGAUACCACUCAUUUUUCUCUCAUUGACCUCUCUCCACUAUCUCUUGGCCACAAAAAACAAAACAGAAAGAAAAAUAAAAGGAUUAUUGUACCUCUUCUUCAUUCCCCGUCUCCACCACGACUCCAACCUCCAAACCAUCUGCG
RNAcentral lists this long non-coding RNA (472 nucleotides) under Lathyrus oleraceus (garden pea). Its description in RNAcentral is "Pisum sativum (pea) long non-coding RNA (PSAT_LNC034913)". The record is from RNAcentral. Lineage: Eukaryota; Viridiplantae; Streptophyta; Magnoliopsida; Fabales; Fabaceae.